ACAGAGACUAGAGUCACAUCUUGACACAACUCUGGUCCUGGUGUGUUGAGGUCUGGGGGAGAGAAGCUGCUGGUCAUGAUUCACAGACCGGGCAUCCAGUGCCUCUAUUAGUGCUCAGACCAGUAACAUUC
Small nucleolar RNA from Otolemur garnettii (small-eared galago), 131 nucleotides. The record is from Ensembl. Lineage: Eukaryota; Metazoa; Chordata; Mammalia; Primates; Galagidae.